This 2500-nucleotide ribosomal RNA is filed under the name Escherichia coli. RNAcentral's name for it is "bacterial LSU rRNA". It matches the Rfam family "Bacterial large subunit ribosomal RNA", at positions 446 to 2925 of the family's 2925-position model. Lineage: Bacteria; Pseudomonadati; Pseudomonadota; Gammaproteobacteria; Enterobacterales; Enterobacteriaceae. The record is from RNAcentral.
GGGGGGACCAUCCUCCAAGGCUAAAUACUCCUGACUGACCGAUAGUGAACCAGUACCGUGAGGGAAAGGCGAAAAGAACCCCGGCGAGGGGAGUGAAAAAGAACCUGAAACCGUGUACGUACAAGCAGUGGGAGCCUCUUAAUGGGGUGACUGCGUACCUUUUGUAUAAUGGGUCAGCGACUUAUAUUCUGUAGCAAGGUUAACCGAAUAGGGGAGCCGAAGGGAAACCGAGUCUUAACUGGGCGUUAAGUUGCAGGGUAUAGACCCGAAACCCGGUGAUCUAGCCAUGGGCAGGUUGAAGGUUGGGUAACACUAACUGGAGGACCGAACCGACUAAUGUUGAAAAAUUAGCGGAUGACUUGUGGCUGGGGGUGAAAGGCCAAUCAAACCGGGAGAUAGCUGGUUCUCCCCGAAAGCUAUUUAGGUAGCGCCUCGUGAAUUCAUCUCCGGGGGUAGAGCACUGUUUCGGCAAGGGGGUCAUCCCGACUUACCAACCCGAUGCAAACUGCGAAUACCGGAGAAUGUUAUCACGGGAGACACACGGCGGGUGCUAACGUCCGUCGUGAAGAGGGAAACAACCCAGACCGCCAGCUAAGGUCCCAAAGUCAUGGUUAAGUGGGAAACGAUGUGGGAAGGCCCAGACAGCCAGGAUGUUGGCUUAGAAGCAGCCAUCAUUUAAAGAAAGCGUAAUAGCUCACUGGUCGAGUCGGCCUGCGCGGAAGAUGUAACGGGGCUAAACCAUGCACCGAAGCUGCGGCAGCGACGCUUAUGCGUUGUUGGGUAGGGGAGCGUUCUGUAAGCCUGUGAAGGUGGCCUGUGAGGGUUGCUGGAGGUAUCAGAAGUGCGAAUGCUGACAUAAGUAACGAUAAAGCGGGUGAAAAGCCCGCUCGCCGGAAGACCAAGGGUUCCUGUCCAACGUUAAUCGGGGCAGGGUGAGUCGACCCCUAAGGCGAGGCCGAAAGGCGUAGUCGAUGGGAAACAGGUUAAUAUUCCUGUACUUGGUGUUACUGCGAAGGGGGGACGGAGAAGGCUAUGUUGGCCGGGCGACGGUUGUCCCGGUUUAAGCGUGUAGGCUGGUUUUCCAGGCAAAUCCGGAAAACCAAGGCUGAGGCGUGAUGACGAGGCACUACGGUGCUGAAGUGACAAAUGCCCUGCUUCCAGGAAAAGCCUCUAAGCAUCAGGUAACAUCAAAUCGUACCCCAAACCGACACAGGUGGUCAGGUAGAGAAUACCAAGGCGCUUGAGAGAACUCGGGUGAAGGAACUAGGCAAAAUGGUGCCGUAACUUCGGGAGAAGGCACGCUGAUAUGUAGGUGAAGCGACUUGCUCGUGGAGCUGAAAUCAGUCGAAGAUACCAGCUGGCUGCAACUGUUUAUUAAAAACACAGCACUGUGCAAACACGAAAGUGGACGUAUACGGUGUGACGCCUGCCCGGUGCCGGAAGGUUAAUUGAUGGGGUUAGCGGUAACGCGAAGCUCUUGAUCGAAGCCCCGGUAAACGGCGGCCGUAACUAUAACGGUCCUAAGGUAGCGAAAUUCCUUGUCGGGUAAGUUCCGACCUGCACGAAUGGCGUAAUGAUGGCCAGGCUGUCUCCACCCGAGACUCAGUGAAAUUGAACUCGCUGUGAAGAUGCAGUGUACCCGCGGCAAGACGGAAAGACCCCGUGAACCUUUACUAUAGCUUGACACUGAACAUUGAGCCUUGAUGUGUAGGAUAGGUGGGAGGCUUUGAAGUGUGGACGCCAGUCUGCAUGGAGCCGACCUUGAAAUACCACCCUUUAAUGUUUGAUGUUCUAACGUUGGCCCCUAAUCGGGGUUGCGGACAGUGUCUGGUGGGUAGUUUGACUGGGGCGGUCUCCUCCUAAAGAGUAACGGAGGAGCACGAAGGUUGGCUAAUCCUGGUCGGACAUCAGGAGGUUAGUGCAAUGGCAUAAGCCAGCUUGACUGCGAGCGUGACGGCGCGAGCAGGUGCGAAAGCAGGUCAUAGUGAUCCGGUGGUUCUGAAUGGAAGGGCCAUCGCUCAACGGAUAAAAGGUACUCCGGGGAUAACAGGCUGAUACCGCCCAAGAGUUCAUAUCGACGGCGGUGUUUGGCACCUCGAUGUCGGCUCAUCACAUCCUGGGGCUGAAGUAGGUCCCAAGGGUAUGGCUGUUCGCCAUUUAAAGUGGUACGCGAGCUGGGUUUAGAACGUCGUGAGACAGUUCGGUCCCUAUCUGCCGUGGGCGCUGGAGAACUGAGGGGGGCUGCUCCUAGUACGAGAGGACCGGAGUGGACGCAUCACUGGUGUUCGGGUUGUCAUGCCAAUGGCACUGCCCGGUAGCUAAAUGCGGAAGAGAUAAGUGCUGAAAGCAUCUAAGCACGAAACUUGCCCCGAGAUGAGUUCUCCCUGAGACUUAGAGUCUCCUGAAGGAACGUUGAAGACGACGACGUUGAUAGGCCGGGUGUGUAAGCGCAGCGAUGCGUUGAGCUAACCGGUACUAAUGAACCGUGAGGCUUAACCUU